Molecule: non-coding RNA, 3945 nt
Organism: Monodelphis domestica (gray short-tailed opossum)
Lineage: Eukaryota; Metazoa; Chordata; Mammalia; Didelphimorphia; Didelphidae
Source: RefSeq, a predicted model, not a curated record
UCCUUUAAGUCCCAAUUAAAAUCCUCUACAGGAAGCCUUUUCCAACUUCUCUUGACUCCAGUGCUUUGCCUCUUUUAAUUAUUUAUUUGUCCUAUAUAUAGCUCAUUUUUACCUAAUGAUUUGCUUGUUGUCCACCCCGCUGGAUUGUGAACUCCUUGAAGCAGGGAUAGUGUUUGUCUCUGAGUGCCAACACUCAGUACAGUGCCUAGGAUAUGGCCUAUAGGUAGAACAAUAAUUCUCAAAAUGUGUCUACUGGAUCUGUUUUUCAGCCUUCCAAAGGGUGAUCUAGUUCUGACAAUGCAUGUAUCCCCUUCAUCAUCUCUGUGUUCAUCCUUGGAAAGCGUACUGCCAAAUAAGUGAACUUAUCCACAGUAUUAAAAAUUACUUCCUUUGCUUUAACUGUUGGUUUGACAUGCAGAUGGUGUUGUUCUGGCUGGUUUUCUUGGUGUUGUGAAGCUAAAAUCCCAGAAGAAGGAAAUGAUGCAGACUCAAAUGUUGUUGUUUCUCAGCAAGAGAUACUGCACUGAAUGCACAAUCAUCUGGGAACAAAAAGUUGUUGAUCAUCUCUCUCUCUCUCCACUUUAGUCUUGGAUUGUGGGCUUUUCAAAUUAAUUUACAGUCAAGGAGGUAACUGUUUUCAUUCUCAUUGAAGAUGUCUGAUAAGAUUUAGAAAAACUUCAUGCUAAAAAGCCUGGGAGCAUGCACACAGCCCUGCUUCACUCCUCUGGUGACUGGGAAAGUGUGAGAGCAUAAUCCAGAAACUGCAAGCGUGCCAUCAUAGAUCUCGCACACACACUAAUGGACUUCUUCAGGCAACCAGCCCAGAUUCUUACUAGCUAUUGACUCUAGAUAAGGAGAAAAAUGGUGAAGCUUCUCACUCAAAAUCACACUGGCAGUAACCAAGAAAGUCAACAUUUGAAUCCAGAUCUUCUGACUCCUACGAAGACCAGAUGUACUACACUGCAAAGGUCAGUUUCCCUGGACACAACUUCUGGUACCAAAUAGCAAUCAGAGGUGUUCAGCUACUGGCAGGGUGGAAAUGGAGAGGAGGACACAGACUAGGCUAUGGAUUGGCCUUCAGGGCACAAAACUAGUAGCAUUUGGGGGAGUGGAGGGUUUUUGGAGCUGGCAAAUGCUUGGACAAGAUUCUCUGAGAUAGUUCUCUAUGACCCCCGGGGCCAGCUGCACCCUAUUCAAGUGGAUACAGUCUGACCAGGAGACAAUGUACUAACUUACCUGUCUGCUUAAGGAGAGAAUGAGGCCUCUGCUGAAACAUGUAGUCUGGAAAAACAGGAAAAAUAACCUCCUUUGGUGUUGCAAUAGGUCCAUUUCCGGACUUUCCCCGGAAGGGUUAAUUCGCACAGGAUUCUAGGAAUUAGAGUUUGGUGCACCAAAGAUUGUUCUGCUAAAACUCAGUCAGGUGAGGGCCAAGGACACUGAGUAAAGAGAGCAUUUACAAUGUUAAUCUGUGUUUCUCCCCAAGGGCAAAAAUGUGUUACCAGGCAACAAAGGAGAAUGAUUUUUACCUUCUCUUGCUCAUACUUCUUCAUGAAUAAAUUAAUGUUGCAAUCUCUUUUACCCCUACUCCCAGAUCUCCCCCCUCCCUCUCUCUGUCUGUCUCUCUCUCUCUCUCUCUGUCUCUGUCUGUCUUUCUCUAUCUGUCUCUGUCUCUCUGUCUCUGUCUCUGUCUGUUUCUGUCUGUCUGUCUGUCUGUCUCUCUCUUUCUCUCUCCCCCUUACCUGUGUGUGUAGUUUUUUGUUUUUUUUUUUUGACCUGGGACUGGGAAGUGGAUAGGGGGAAAGGAGACAGAAUAUCUUCUACUAUAUCCUCCACUUUUUUGUUUUGUUUGAAUUAGUCUUGCUAAAGAGGUUCUAAUUUCUGUUUUUUUUUUUACCCCCUAUGCUUCUGAAGGACUGGAAUGAUUGUCAGUCAUCUAAAUAUGGCACCCUGGAGCAAAAUUCUGGCUGCUCCACCAUAAUUAUAUCUUUGACUGUGAUCAACAGUCUGAAUAUUUCUGAAUCUAAUUAAAGUGGGCCUUAUAUUAUAUGAUAUUAAUUCAUUGUUUGAUCAACUCUCAAAACGUUUUCAGUUUAGCAGGAUUUGUCAAAGCUUAUACUCCAUUAGCACAGACUUACGGAGCCAGAGUUAAUGCUACAAUAAUUUGAUUGGUCAGAGAUAGUCUUUGCCCUUCAAGGUUCUUUCUAACUGAGACUGUGAUUCUCUGACUUUAGAGGAGAAAACAUCUCUCUAAAUAUUAAUAUUCUCAUAUAAAACGGAAAAGUGGAAUAUCCAGGAUUCAAACUGAGGUCUUUUGAGCCCAAGAUAAAUGCUCUUUCUAUUAUGAACCAAUUUACAGUAACAAUAAUAAUUCCAUUGCUGGAGAUCAGGAUGGGUGAUGUUGAAAGGCAAGAAUGUUGAGACAUAAGAGAAAGGACUAAUGAUUUGGAGUCAGGACAAGCUGAAUUCAAUUUCUUUUUAGAUCCUGUGUGACCUCAAGCAUAUCACUUAAAAGGCCCUUGACCAUUUUCUCACCCGGCCAGAGAAAGGUUUGGAUAUGAUUUUUCUAAAGUUCCUUCUAGGUAUAAAUCUAUGAGUUCCUGAAAAGAAUUCAUUUCAAAUGGAGUCAUGGGGUAGGGGGAGAGGCAAGAUGGCAGAGAAGACACACUGACCUACCUGAUCUCAAACAACUUUGAUAUAACAUCUCAAAAUGAAUUCUGGAGCAACAGAAUCCACAAGCAGCUGGGGUGAAACAAUUUUUCAGACCAAAGAUAACUUAGAAAGUCUACAGGAGGAGUCUGUAGCAACAUGGUGGCAGUGGGCACAGAGCAGCUUGCCAAGUCAAGACCACACCUCAGGAAAGCAGCACAGUCCUUGAGGGCUGCUAAAUCAGCAGCAAAGGCUUCUGGAACUCUCAGCCACAGAUGGAAAGGAGGUCCAACAAUUGAUCAUAAGGAGAUUAUAGGGGUUCCUGUGCUGGCUCUGGGUGCAGGACUCUAUUGGAUUGCCCAUACACAGAUCCAAGUCACAAUAGUCUAAAUAGCAGUCCAGGAAAAGGAGGAACACCAGCAUACACCAGUUCUUGCAACUGCAGGGGAGCAGUGAACCACGGUCACAGUUCCAAGAUAGAGAAGAGCAUAAGCCAGGUGAGUAUUAAGCAUAACUCUCCUUAAAUCAUACCACCUUGGAAGAAAAAUAAUUAUAGAACCCCAGAGCUAGCUCUGAAGGUAACUGUACAAAGAAUCUGAAGAUUAGAUUAGUUCCCCCUUCACAACAGGAAUGGAACUUUCUUGUAGCAAUUUUUUAAAAUUAAAAAAUAACACAAGAAAAAAAGGAUAGAAAAUGAGCAAACAUCAACAACAAAAUAUAGAAGGUCAUUCUGGUGACAGAGAAGAUCAAAGCACCAACUCAGAAGAAGAGAACAAAAUUAAUACUGCUACAUUCGUAGCCUCCAGAAUAAUAUGAAUUGGUCUCAAACCCAAAAAAUAUUUCCUGGAGGAGAUCAAAAGGAAUUAAAAAAAUCAAAUAAGAGACAUAGAAGAAAAAGUAGGGAAAAAUGAGAGUGAUAUAGGAAAAUCAUGAAAAGGGUGUUAACAACUUAGUAAAGGAGUCACAAAAAUACUAAAGAAAAUAUAACUUUAAAAAACAGAAUACAACAAUUGAUAAAAGAAGCACAAAAAUCCUCAGAGAAGAACUUUUUAAAAAGCAGAAUUGGCCAAAUGGAAAAAGAGGUCAAAAUAGAAUUGGUUAAAUGGAAAAGGAGAUACAAAAGCUUGUUCAAGAAAAUACUUGUUUAGAAGUAGAAUUGAAUCUAAACUGGCACUAGAAGACUCCUAAGAGGCAGAGGUAGGAAAAAGGAUGUUCCAGAGAAAACUUGAGCAAAGGAGAAGCAGGGGACAUGUUAGACAAGCCAGGUAUCUUUCUAGGUUGAAGUAUAGGAUAUUAUAU